CUAAUACAUGCUAAAAAUCCCGACUUCGGAAGGGAUGUAUUUAUUAGAUUAAAAACCAAUGCCCUUCGGGGCUCACUGGUGAUUCAUAAUAACUUCUCGAAUCGCAUGGCCUUGCGCCGGCGAUGGUUCAUUCAAAUUUCUGCCCUAUCAACUUUCGACGGCUGGGUCUUGGCCAGCCAUGGUGACAACGGGUAACGGAGGGUUAGGGCUCGACCCCGGAGAAGGAGCCUGAGAGACGGCUACUACAUCCAAGGAAGGCAGCAGGCGCGCAAAUUACCCAAUCCCGACACGGGGAGGUAGUGACAAUAAAUACUGAUACAGGGC
RNAcentral lists this ribosomal RNA (324 nucleotides) under Phaeoacremonium sp. KF-152. RNAcentral describes it as "SSU rRNA". It matches the Rfam family "Eukaryotic small subunit ribosomal RNA", at positions 164 to 491 of the family's 1831-position model. The record is from RNAcentral. RNAcentral also lists the same sequence under 4 other names. Lineage: Eukaryota; Fungi; Ascomycota; Sordariomycetes; Togniniales; Togniniaceae.